Coturnix japonica (Japanese quail) is the source of this 1556-nucleotide non-coding RNA. The record is from RefSeq and is a predicted model, not a curated record. Lineage: Eukaryota; Metazoa; Chordata; Aves; Galliformes; Phasianidae.
ACCUACGAUGUCUGAGGAAUUAAGUCUUCAAUCAAAAGCAGGUUGUGGGUUGUUUGUAGGUUUGUGUGGAUCCUGAAUAAGCGGUCACUGUUGAGAACUCCUUUUUGUAUAGACAGUGCAAUAUUUAUAAUUUAUCAUGGGUGAGAGGUUUCACUCUCUGCAAGACAACGGUUCCUGAACUUUUAGUAACUCUUAUUUAGAUCAACACUAGGUACAUUUCACAGUCCUUAGCUCUCGUACCUCCAUGAAAAGUAACAUAUGCUUUUUCAAUCAAUUGCUUCCUUUAUGACUAUAAAAUGACAGAAAGCCUUUCCCUCAGUCACACAGGAAUUUCACUAAUUCCAGCCUUCUUAGCGAUCACGUGAUGAACCACAAAAAGAUGCACUUUAAGUUUCUCAAUAGACAAACAGCAUACUGCAUGUAGUCUUCAUUAAUAUCCCAUAUGUCACCAAUUACGCAAGAAUCAUUAAGCAGUGAGCGAAUACAUCCACAGUUGCAACUCUCAUUUGCCAAUAUCGUGCAAUUAGAGUGUGUAUGGAAAGCAAAACAAUGACCUGAUGCUGCAGCACAGCACAUAGGUGGAGAUGUGUAUGCUCAGGAUGAGUCUGGACCCCUUCCUUACGUUGUCACUGCAUUGUUGGGGUGGACUGCUGUCCGCCAAAGUCAAACAGCGGGGACUGGUUUGCAGCUCUGGGUUAGGAUGAAGUAGAUGGCUUGUCAUCCAGUGGGAACCCACCCCAGACCUCCACACUUCUCAGUGAGGGGCUAUCUGCACAAGCUGAAGGAGGAUGUCGUGUGAGAUGCAAAGAGAUCCGUGUGACUUAGGCACAGGUAUUGAAUUUAUUUGUGAAUCCCACAGUGAGGCGAGAAAAAGCGCGUAACAAACUGUCACUGAAAGUGCAGUUUAAGUCCCUAAUUGUGAUCGAGAGUCCACGUGUCUAGCUGUCAGGUACCCCGGCCGGCCCUAAUGAGCCCGGCUGGCUCUAACGAGGCAACGACUGUCAGGUGCCGCGGGGCCGCGGCCGCCCGUGCCCAGCUGCGCCUCGUUCGGAACCCGGGGUGAAUCCGCCCCCGACGCCUCUUAAGCUCCGUCGGAGGCCGCUGGGAGCUAUCAGAAGGCUCCUGGGAUUCGUUGCCUGCGGGAGCUGGAGCGGGAUCUGCCGCGUUGUCCGGUCUUUGCGCCGCUGGGGCUGAAAAGCGCCGCGAGAGGUUGCUUUUAAAACUAGCGCUUCAGAUUCUUUGUGGCGGUCUCUGUUUGUUGUGUUCUUUUGUUUCAGGCUGCGAUGAGAUGUAUCCCUGUGAAGAUCAGCCCCGACCGGUGAGGCGUUCAGGCUGAGCGAAAGCUGCAGCGGAACCUCUCAUCUUCCCGAGCUGGUGAAACGGCGGAGGCGGUGAGCGAGUGGGAGUCGCGAAGGUGGCCAGAGGCAUUCACUUGCAGCACUAUAAUGAGGCAUGGGAGGUAACGCAAGUGUUGAUGCAAGAAAUCACUCCAAGAUUUGGUGUUCCUGCCACGAUCUCUUCAGAUUGGGGUCCUCAUUUUGUUGCUAAAGUGGUAU